Molecule: ribosomal RNA, 301 nt
Filed under: uncultured bacterium
Lineage: Bacteria
Description: partial 16S ribosomal RNA
Rfam family: Bacterial small subunit ribosomal RNA
Source: RNAcentral
CAGUAGCCGCGGUAAUACGAAGGGGGCUAGCGUUGCUCGGAAUGACUGGGCGUAAAGGGCGCGUAGGUGGUGGUUUAAGUCCGUUGUGAAAGCCCUGGGCUCAACCUGGGAAUUGCAGUGGAUACUGGGUCACUAGAGUGUGGUAGAGGAUAGUGGAAUUUCCGGUGUAGCAGUGAAAUGCGUAGAGAUCGGAAGGAACAUCUGUGGCGAAGGCGACUAUCUGGGCCAACACUGACACUGAGGCACGAAAGCGUGGGGAGCAAACAGGAUUAGAUACCCCAGUAGUCCCUGUCUCUUAUAC